UCUCUCUCUCAAUCCAGUGAUAAAAAAAUCUGCAGAGUUUGAGAGAAAACAAGAAAACUGAUAAACCCUCUUUCUAAUUCUUGCUGGUUAGCGAGAAACAGGAGUGACAAGAAAACAAGUAGUGUUGAAGCAUCAAGAGUUUUCCCAGUUUCUGACAGCAUGAAGUGAUUUCUUGCGUUGAAUUGAAAUGAACAGGAAGCAUCCAGCAGAAGGAAGAUUCCCUGCUAGGGAAUCUCGUGGGCCACCAAGAAACGUACAAAAUUUCACAAAUGGUCCAGUAUCCCCUGAACUAGUUAAAAAAAUUAUGAUUGCCAAAGAUUUGAUUGAAAGAUGCCUUCAACUGUAUAUGAAUAAAAAACGAGUGAUUAGAACAGUCUUCGAACAAGUUGGAAUCGAGCCUAAC
This is a long non-coding RNA of Populus trichocarpa (black cottonwood), 403 nucleotides long. RefSeq lists it as uncharacterized. The record is from RefSeq and is a predicted model, not a curated record. The transcript is spliced from 4 exons. Lineage: Eukaryota; Viridiplantae; Streptophyta; Magnoliopsida; Malpighiales; Salicaceae.